CCAAAGAAAAAAAACCACGAUCUAAACCCAUUUCGGUCUCCUUCUUCGUACAGCACUUGAUCAGAAUCAUUCAACCCAUUGUCGACAGCUUUGUUAAUGGCGUGACAUUUAUCUCUACGAAGGGUUCCCAGUUCCAGAUUGUUGGUCUCCUUCUUAGGUUAUGCACCUUCCACUUCACAGUCAGGUUAUGCACAUUCCACUUCACAGCCAGGUUUUACACACUUUGAUAAUGAUUAUGGACAAAAUAUGACAUUCACAAGUCUAUUGAGCCAGGCUUCCAGCUACAAUUAUCCCGAAUUUGGUGUAGGAUUGAUGGGAAUUGAUAUGGAGCGUUGAUAUGGAGCUUUGUGUAUUGUUUAUAUGGAAUGUAGAGAUUUCUGAUAUGUUUAUAUUAUCUGUGUAGUUCACAACGAAAUGAAUGACACAUUUUGUUGAUCUAUUUUGUACGAUGUUGAACAUUAAUAGCAUCAGGGAAAUGAUUAUUUUGG
Long non-coding RNA from Tripterygium wilfordii, 488 nucleotides. RefSeq lists it as uncharacterized. Lineage: Eukaryota; Viridiplantae; Streptophyta; Magnoliopsida; Celastrales; Celastraceae. The record is from RefSeq and is a predicted model, not a curated record. The transcript is spliced from 3 exons.